UGGGGAAUAUUGCACAAUGGGCGCAAGCCUGAUGCAGCCAUGCCGCGUGUGUGAAGAAGGCCUUCGGGUUGUAAAGCACUUUCAGCGGGGAGGAAGGCGUUAAGGUUAAUAACCUUGGCAAUUGACGUUACCGACAGAAGAAGCACCGGCUAACUCCGUGCCAGCAGCCGCGGUAAUACGGAGGGUGCAAGCGUUAAUCGGAAUUACUGGGCGUAAAGCGCACGCAGGCGGUUGAUUGAGUCAGAUGUGAAAUCCCCGGGCUUAACCCGGGAAUUGCAUCUGAUACUGGUCAGCUAGAGUCUUGUAGAGGGGGGUAGAAUUCCAUGUGUAGCGGUGAAAUGCGUAGAGAUGUGGAGGAAUACCGGUGGCGAAGGCGGCCCCCUGGACGAAGACUGACGCUCAGGUGCGAAAGCGUGGGGAGCAAACAGG
RNAcentral lists this ribosomal RNA (429 nucleotides) under Chloroflexota bacterium. Its description in RNAcentral is "Chloroflexi bacterium partial 16S ribosomal RNA". It matches the Rfam family "Bacterial small subunit ribosomal RNA", at positions 355 to 776 of the family's 1533-position model. Lineage: Bacteria; Bacillati; Chloroflexota. The record is from RNAcentral.